This 169-nucleotide ribosomal RNA is filed under the name Cynoglossus abbreviatus (three-lined tongue sole). RNAcentral describes it as "partial 12S ribosomal RNA". The record is from RNAcentral. Lineage: Eukaryota; Metazoa; Chordata; Actinopteri; Pleuronectiformes; Cynoglossidae.
AACCGCGGUUAUACGAAAGGCCUAAGUAGAUGGGUUACGGCAUAAAGAGUGGUUAAAAUAUUAACCCUACUAAAGUUAAAUUCUCUCCUAGUCAUUUAUAAACCUACGAGACCCAGAAACACAAUUACGAAAGUAACUUUAUCCCUUUGACUCCACGAAAGCCAGGACA